UACGAGUGCCUCAAGCGUUAUCCGGAAUUAUUGGGCGUAAAGGGUGUGUAGGUGGUCUUAUUAGUCUUCUGUUAAAUUCUUCGGCUUAACCGGGGGCUCGCAGGGGAAACGGUAAGACUAGAGGGUGCGAGGGGUGAAUGGAACUCAUGGAGUAGGGGUGAAAUCCGUUGAUAUCAUGGGGAACACCAAAAGCGAAGGCAAUUCACUGGCGCAUUCCUGACACUGAAACACGAAAGCGUGGGUAGCGAAUGGG
Molecule: ribosomal RNA, 253 nt
Filed under: uncultured bacterium
Lineage: Bacteria
Description: partial 16S ribosomal RNA
Rfam family: Bacterial small subunit ribosomal RNA
Source: RNAcentral